Lolium rigidum is the source of this 107-nucleotide small nucleolar RNA. The record is from RefSeq and is a predicted model, not a curated record. Lineage: Eukaryota; Viridiplantae; Streptophyta; Magnoliopsida; Poales; Poaceae.
AAGCCAUGGUGAGGACACAUCCUUAUCAGAGUAUUAUAUCUCUGCCAUGCAUCAUAGAGACUCUCACCUUCAAACUGAGCAAAUCUGGUGAUCUUGUCUCUGUAUUC